AGCAGCCGCGGUAAUUCCAGCUCCAAUAGCGUAUAUUAAAGUUGCUGCAGUUAAAAAGCUCGUAGUUGAAUUUCGGGACCAAUAUGUCGGUCGUGCUUUUGUACGUACUGAUAUAAUUGGUUUCUCCCUUCUGAAGAACCUUGAUGUCAUUAAUUUGGUGUCUUGGGGAAUCAGGACUGUUACUUUGAAAAAAUUAGAGUGUUUAAAGCAGGCUCGCGCUUGAAUACAUUAGCAUGGAAUAAUGAAAUAGGACGUUUGAUUCUAUUUUGUUGGUUUCUAGGAUCGACGUAAUGAUUAAUAGGGAUAGUUGGGGGCAUUAGUAUUCAAUUGUCAGAGGUGAAAUUCUUGGAUUUAUUGAAGACUAACUACUGCGAAAGCAUUUGCCAAGGAUGUUUUCAUUAAUCAAGAACGAAAGUUAGGGGAUCGAAGACGAUCAGAUACCGUCGUAGUCUUAACCAUAAACUAUGCCGACUAGGGAUCGGAUGAUGUUAAUUUUUUAAUGACUCA
RNAcentral lists this ribosomal RNA (507 nucleotides) under uncultured Glomus. RNAcentral describes it as "SSU rRNA". It matches the Rfam family "Eukaryotic small subunit ribosomal RNA", at positions 569 to 1078 of the family's 1831-position model. Lineage: Eukaryota; Fungi; Glomeromycota; Glomeromycetes; Glomerales; Glomeraceae. The record is from RNAcentral.